RNAcentral lists this long non-coding RNA (1322 nucleotides) under Salmo salar (Atlantic salmon). RNAcentral describes it as "lncRNA (ENSSSAG00000114910.1)". Lineage: Eukaryota; Metazoa; Chordata; Actinopteri; Salmoniformes; Salmonidae. The record is from RNAcentral.
CCCCUUUGUUAUGUCAAGCCUAAAUAAGUUCAGGAGUAGAAAUGUGCUUAACAAGUCAUAUAAUAAGUUGCAUGUACUGUGUGUGCAAUAAUAGUGUUUAACAUGAUUUUUGAAUGACUACUUCAUCCCUGUACCCCACACAAACAAUUAUCUGUAAGACCCUCAGUCGAGCAGUGAAUUUCAAACACAGAUUCAAGCACAAAGACCAAGGAGGCUUUCCAAUGCCUCGCAAAGAAGGGCACCUAUUGGUAGAGGGGUAACAAAAUGAAGCAGACAUUGAAUAUCGCUUUGAGCAUGACACUGGGAGACAAAUCCACUUUUCAGCAGGACAGUAACCUAAAAGACAAGGCCAACUAUACACUCGAGUUACUUACCAAGAUGACAUUGAAUGUUCCUGAGUGUCCUAGUUACAGUUUUGACUUAAAUCAUCUUGAAAAUCUAUGGCAAGACUUGAAAAUGUCUGUCUAGCAAUGAUCAACAAUCAACUUGACACAGAGCUUGAAGAAUAUUUUUUUAAAUGUGCAAAUAUUGUACAAUCCAGAUUAUCAUGGCCCGCCCUUGCAUAGCGUUCCUAUUGAAGCAGGACGUGUCAGUCCUGAUGCUCAGCCUGCCUUCGAGAAUUUCACCAAUCAGGUCUGGACACUAUACCACUUGGCCAAUGAGACGGAGGAGGGCACACUGUCCACUAACACUAUCUCCCAGCCUCCGUUCAAUGGAAGUGCUUUCAUUCGCAACUUUGGGCCUGGACAUGUGUUACUGGCAGAGAGGUCCCCUUCCCCUCAGCAGUCUGACACCCAGUCCUGGUGUGGCCGACCCAGACAACAGCCCCAGCCACCACCUUUCCCGAUGUACCCAAGAAGGGCCUUCACACCCAGGUCACAGAGCACAACCCUUCGCCCUCCACCCCAGCAUCCAACUAUCCUCAACCUGGAGAUCAGCAUCCCCAACUACUUCCUGUUCCUCGAUGGCAACCAGGUGUCCCUGAGCCAGAGCGCUCGUAGUGUUCCGACUGCAAUGUUUUCCAGGUCGAGAUCUGCUGUGGUCAGGGCGGACGACCCCCAGGGGGACCUGUCCUUCUCCGUUCCAAUGGAGAUGGUAAACGGAGGUUCCAGUCGGGACGGUCAGGCCCAGUUCCUGCAGGUCAUCAGUGAUGAAGGAAAUACUGUUUACUCCCCCGCUCUCAUACGCAUUGUCACCUCUGAACCCACAGAGAAAGAGGACCAGGAAGGAUCCGGGAGGUGGCCAACUAGUGCCCCAUUUAAUUGGUAGGGGACUGUUGUCUAGUAUCAAUAAACGUGUGCAUAUCAUUUAAAACGUUCUCC